Molecule: small nuclear RNA, 107 nt
Filed under: Tursiops truncatus (common bottlenose dolphin)
Lineage: Eukaryota; Metazoa; Chordata; Mammalia; Artiodactyla; Delphinidae
Source: RNAcentral
GUGCUCGUUUCGGCAGCACAUACACUAAAAUUGGAACGAUACAGAGAAGAUUAGCAUGGCCCGUGCACAAGGAUGACAUGCAAAUUCGUGAAGCAUUCCAUAUUUUA